Molecule: unclassified non-coding RNA, 329 nt
Filed under: soil metagenome
Description: partial contains 5.8S ribosomal RNA, internal transcribed spacer 2, and large subunit ribosomal RNA
Rfam family: 5.8S ribosomal RNA (bases 1-120)
Source: RNAcentral
GAUGAAGAACGUAGCGAAAUGCGAUAAGUAAUGUGAAUUGCAGAAUUCAGUGAAUCAUCGAAUCUUUGAACGCACAUUGCGCCCCUUGGUAUUCCGAGGGGCAUGCCUGUUCGAGCGUCAUUAUAACCCCUCAAGCUCAGCUUGGUGUUGGGGCCUGCUGCACUGGCAGCCCUUAAAAUCAGUGGCGGCGCCAUCUGGCUCUAAGCGUAGUAAUUCUUCUCGCUAUGGAGUCCUGGUGGAUGCUUGCCAUCAACCCCCAAUUUUUCUAUGGUUGACCUCGGAUCAGGUAGGGAUACCCGCUGAACUUAAGCAUAUCAAAAAGCGGAGGA